Molecule: long non-coding RNA, 200 nt
Filed under: Lathyrus oleraceus (garden pea)
Lineage: Eukaryota; Viridiplantae; Streptophyta; Magnoliopsida; Fabales; Fabaceae
Description: Pisum sativum (pea) long non-coding RNA (PSAT_LNC041885)
Source: RNAcentral
UUCUCAUCACCUACACAUAACACACACACUUUUGAGGUCUUUAGGGUUGUAGCUUGGCUUGGGUUAGGGUAUGGAUUAAAAAAGGAAAACAAGGGGCUUUUGGUUCAGAGUCGAUGUUACAUCCUGUGUUUGUUUCUUUUAUUUUCUCGGUUUUCUUUUCUUAUUUCUUUUUCACCGACUGCCCUUUUCCGUGCUUCUUU